RNAcentral lists this ribosomal RNA (255 nucleotides) under uncultured bacterium. RNAcentral's name for it is "partial 16S ribosomal RNA". It matches the Rfam family "Bacterial small subunit ribosomal RNA", at positions 524 to 776 of the family's 1533-position model. The record is from RNAcentral.
UACGUAGGGUGCGAGCGUUGUCCGGAAUUAUUGGGCGUAAAGGGCUCGUAGGCGGUUUGUCGCGUCGGGAGUGAAAACUCAGGGCUUAACCCUGAGCCUGCUUCCGAUACGGGCAGACUAGAGGUAUGCAGGGGAGAACGGAAUUCCUGGUGUAGCGGUGAAAUGCGCAGAUAUCAGGAGGAACACCGGUGGUGAAGGCGGGUCUCUGGGCAACAACGUGACGCUGGAGGUGCGAAAGCGUGGGGAGCAAACAGG